Molecule: small nuclear RNA, 98 nt
Organism: Nymphaea colorata (pocket water lily)
Lineage: Eukaryota; Viridiplantae; Streptophyta; Magnoliopsida; Nymphaeales; Nymphaeaceae
Source: RefSeq, a predicted model, not a curated record
GUCUUUUCAGAGACAUCCGAUAAAAUUGGAAUGAUGCAGAGAAGAUUAGCAUGGCCUCUGUGCAAAGAUGACACGCACUGGAGAUUUUGGGAAUACAA